AAGUAUCUCUAUGAACUCGACAUCAGCAACAAUAAAUUCACCGGUCAGUUUCCGACCGCGGUAGUUGGUAUGCCUGGUUUGUCAUUUCUUGACAUCCGUUUCAACUCUUUCUCCGGUUCAAUCCCACCACAAAUCUUUGGUCAGAACCUCGACGUUCUCUUCAUUAAUGACAACACCUUUACUGCGAGCCUCCCGGAGAUACCUGGCGAUAGUCACAUCCUUUUUCUAACUUUAGCAGACAAUAAGUUCAACGGUCCUCUCCCGAGAAGCAUCCUAAGAUCUAUGACAACGUUAACCGAGGUACUUUUCUUGAAUAACGACUUUACGGGUUGUAUCCCUUACGAAAUCGGGUUACUCAAGGGAGCAUCAGUUAUCGAUAUCAGUGGAAAUAAGCUCACAGGUCCUUUACCCCUUUCACUUAUGUGUCUAGAGAAAGUGGAGCAGCUCAACUUUGCUGGGAAUCUCUUGUUUGGGGCAAUCCCAGAUGCAGUGUGCAUGUUCCUCCGAGAGAAUCUUGUCAACUUUUCCUUGUCUGAUAACUAUUUCACACACGUGGGGCCAUGGUGUAAGAUUUUGGUUGAAAGAGGUGUUCUUGAUGUUAGGAAUAACUGUAUUCCUUUCUUCCCAGGACAAAGAUCUAUUGAAGAAUGUGCGGAGUUCUUUGUCAAACCUAAUUACUACUGUCCUCACGCAUGGUUUCAUAGUUUUCUUCCUUGUAGAUAUUCUCACAUAUCUUCUUCCUCUGCUAGUGAUUUUAUGCCCAUGGUGGCUCCCUCACCUUGAUGUUCAUCAUCAUAUAUAUCAGCGUGUUUGUUCUCUUCAUUGUAAUGAAAAUAAUCGAAUUAUGUUUCCACCAACAAAAUCAUGGUAAGAGAAGGCCAAGAGUGGUGUUGUGUUGGGAAUACAAGUAUAAUCUUGUAUUUGUUAACUAGUAUAUGAUUUCCAUGUCCAUUAAUGAAUGUGUCAAUGCCAUUUGCGUAUAGUAGUCACGAUUCGUGAUACAAAGAAAAUUCUAUUGUUUUUAUGGUUAAAUAAGACGAAUUGAUAGUUGAGUUAAUUAAAAGCAAUGCCACAGUGUUUGCCUGUAUUAAUAAAUUGAUGAUUAUAAGUACAAAAAGUGUUAUAUUAAUACGUAGACUUAUAUAGAGAUAAAAAAGAAAAAAUAUAUAUAUAGUGAGUUUGUUUGAAUGUACACCGUAGGGAUAGCGAUAACGAUAUAAUUGCGAGUAAUGUAAUAAUGUAAGUGGUCCUACUCAUGGUCUAUCAUAUAAAAUUAUAAAUCAUGUGAAUGGGCAUUUUUCCUCCACGUCUAUUGCAUUUGAUGGGUUAAAUGUACCAAAGAUAAAGAGGGGUGACCAAAGGUGACCCCUUCCUACCAAACCCAUUAACAUUUUUCGUCAACUAAUCAUUUAUAAUUUUCUUUUUCCAAUCACAAUAGACUGCAUCCAGCUAAGAAAAGGCAACCCGCAGCUACGAAAUAACAUUUAACUUACCUAUCUAUCUAUAUAUAAUACUCCAUCCGUUUUUCAAUCCGUUUUUCAAUAUAAGUCGUUUUAAAGAAACUUUUUUGUUCCAAAUUAUGUCGUUUUUGGUUUUCUAUGUAACAUUUAUUAAUAAUUAAUGUUGUCUGACCAAUGAUAAUAUAUCUUCUAUUUUUCUAUUGGUUAAAUUGUGGUUUGGUAAAUAAUUAAUGAUGUUUUUGUUUUGAAAAUAUAAAAAAUUAAUGAUUUUCUUAAUCUAUGUGCAUAGCUUUAAAACGACUUAUAUUAAAAAACGGAAGGAGUAAUAAAGAGGGGUUUUCUCUCACCACAGGCUGCCAGAUCAGCAAGGAGGAGGUAGCGUUUUUGGACAGGUGUAGCCUCAGCAAACCAACUAUAUAUGUGUAAUUCCGGUCUUAUUCGAACUGGACUUUUAUUAAAAUUUGUUAUUAAGCCCAAUAUUAUGUUAAGCCCGCGUAUUAUUAGCUAUCUUACUUCCCUGACACAAUUUCCAGAAACUUAAAUCGACGUUCAGAUCUCCGUAUCGCCUCAGCUUUCCAUUAAUCUGUUCUUAACUCAGAGUUUUUGCGUGAUCCACUCCUCUCACUGGAAGCUUUCAAUCGAUCCAGAAACAUAUUUUGUUCUAGGGACGAUGGCGACCAGCUUUCAGCCGGUCGAGUUCUUCGCAGCUGGUGGUCACGCUUUCGUUUUCACGGAGGCACCUAAUCUAUAUUAAUAAGAAGGGAGCUAAUGGGUUGAUAUCCUCCUCAAUGAUGAAAAGAUUGUCCUCCUCAUCUUCCCUCGCCUUCCUUUUCCAAUAUAAACUGCCAUCACCUAUUAUCUUAACCAUAAUAUAUUUAAUUUUAUUGAGUGCUUUUUAUAUUUAUGGUUAAUUAUAGGUUUGGAAAUUUCAUAGAGGUAUUCCAAAUUUCACAGAGAUUCAGUCCCAUAUGUUCCGUUUGAUUUGGGUCUAUGACUUUUAAAUUUUUUGUUUUUGUUAAGGAAAAGGGAUGAUGAUAGACGCGCUGCUUCUGCUGUUGCCAAAUUGAUGAUAGACGCGCUGCCUCAGAGCGUGCUGCCAAAUUGAUGAUAGACGCGCUGCUUCUGCUGUUCCUGGCUCUCGCAAGACGGUGACUUGAGGCUGCGCAAGCUCAGGUUUGGCUCCUUUGAAAUCUGUGUGUUCUUUGGUCGUUUAUAUUUUCAGUGCGUUAAGGUGUUAGCUUCUGCUUCUUGAUUAGUUUUAAACAAAGUGUGGAGUAUGUUACAACAAUCAAGCAGAAAAAUUCAAGGUAGACCGAAAGUUAGAUUCUUUGAUGUGUGAAUCUGUGGCUAUGAUGUAUUAAAACAUUUUGGUUUGCAGGAACAAAUUGUUACCAUGAAGUUAAGAUCGUAUGGAUAGUUGGAAUCUCCUAUAGUUGGAACCUCCUUUGCAGCUGAAGAAUAAGCCUGUCGCUUCAAGUUUCUUACACACAGCUCCUCAUCAUGGGAACUUCGUAGACUCUGCUUCUGGUGGUUAAAGUUUUCAUUCAUAAACAUCGGAAUAACAAAGGAAAAUUUUGACUUUUGAGAUUCAGGUUCCAUGAGCACUAAAGUUUGGUUUUGGAUAGGGAGUUUAGGUAAGACGUUCCUGACUCUUGAUCGACGCACAUGGAAAGUCACUGCAGACGUAGCUGAAGGCGACACUGACGAUAUCAACCAGGCGGUGAAAGCUGCAAGGAAGACCAUUGAUGUGGACCUUGGCCAAAAGAUGACCGCUUAUGUGUAAUAUUAUAUAUUGUUCUCGAGUAUUGAAAGUUAUGAAAUUAAUGUGAUAUGGACUUAUCUUUGUUUUGUUUUCAGGAAAGGUGAAGGACAAUGUUGAGAUUCAUGGGACAAUGGGAAGACCUAUGAACAAGCAAAAAAAGCAGAGAUUCUAGUGCUUGCCAGAUUGUUUCACUCCUAUGCUGGUAUACCACACAAAAAUCUUGAGAAUAUUAUAAAAGUUUCUUGCUUUUAUUAGUAAGUUUGCUUUGAUGUGUAGGAUGUGCGGAUAAGAUUCAUGGACUAAUUAACAGUUCCAGUUGAUGGAAACUAUCAUGUCCAGACACUGCAUGAACCAAAAGGUGUUGCUGGACAGAUCAUUUCAUGGAACUUUCCGCUUCUUAUGGUUGCUUGGAAAGUUGGUCUUUCUCUUUCUUGUGGUAAAACCAUUGUCCUCAAAACCGCCGAACAAACUCCCCUCACUGCUUUUUACGGAAAGCUUUUCCUUGAAGUAAUCAAUGUUCCUUUCACCUGCUACUUACCAUUCUUGCUACUAAAAUAAAAAGCUGUAAGUAAACAAUGUUUCUUGAAAUGUAUGAUAGGCAGGUCUUCCUCUUGGUGUUAUAAACAUAGUUUCUGAAUUUGGUCCAAUCGCAGGGACUUUCCUCACGAGCCUCAUGGGUUUGGCUCUUACCAAAUUUUCUAAGUACAUCUUCACUUUUUGUUCUGGCGUAUAUGUGUCUUCUUUUAUUGUUUGUUUCUCUUUAAUUAAGAAAAGUAGGGAUUGGCUAUAAGCUCUAGCUGUGUGGUUGAUUCAGAACAAUGAUUGGCACGCGCUGUAUCCUUUGACUUAUUUUUUUUUCUUUUUCUUAAUCGCAUCUCACCAUAUUUUUCCUCUCUUUUGCUUAAUCGCACGGUACCAUACUCAAUUUUGCUCUCGAUUGUUGUCAGGUUAAUAUAAUAGAUACUCGACUCAUCACUGAAGUUGAGGGAGGGAAGUCUCUUAGAAAACCAACAUAUAGAAGCUAUAUCAGUUUAGAGAAACAGGGAAGAAGCAAGAGAGGAGAGAUGCACAUACAUAGCCAAGAAGAUGCAAGAACUUAACAAAGAGCAGAGGAGGAAAAGUCACUAGCUUUAGCUGCUCAAGCGGAGCUCAGAAACGCGAAGGAAGAGUCAGGUUAAGCGAAGACAGGAGUCUCUUCAAUAGAAAGUCAAUUGAGGCGGAAAGGGAAAUGAGUGGGGUGAUGGAAUUCAUGGACCAUAGUCAGCUACAAUGCCUAUACAAUGUGGUCGCUGAAGCCUUCGAGAGAGAAGGAGACUUGAAACAAAUGGAAUAUUUAUUAAGGCUACUGCAAUCAGAGAGAAUAAAACAAAGAUGUGUUCACCUUUGUCAUUUUAUAAGGAUUUAUGACAUAUAAGUGACUUUGAAGGGUACUUCUCAAAACUUUAUGCUAAUCUCAGAUUAGUCUAUAAAUGAUAAACUGUACAAAUGAUUUAUUAACUUUUUAUGCCUGGUUUGUCAUUUCUUGACAUCCGUUUCAACUCUUUCUCCGGUUCAAUCCCACCACAAAUCUUUGGUCAGAACCUCGACGUUCUCUUCAUUAAUGACAACACCUUUACUGCGAGCCUCCCGGAGAUACCUGGCGAUAGUCACAUCCUUUUUCUAACUUUAGCAGACAAUAAGUUCAACGGUCCUCUCCCGAGAAGCAUCCUAAGAUCUAUGACAACGUUAACCGAGGUACUUUUCUUGAAUAACGACUUUACG
Molecule: long non-coding RNA, 4983 nt
Filed under: Brassica napus (rape)
Lineage: Eukaryota; Viridiplantae; Streptophyta; Magnoliopsida; Brassicales; Brassicaceae
Description: long non-coding RNA (BNAP_LNC000013)
Source: RNAcentral